This 508-nucleotide ribosomal RNA is filed under the name uncultured bacterium. RNAcentral's name for it is "bacterial SSU rRNA". It matches the Rfam family "Bacterial small subunit ribosomal RNA", at positions 28 to 528 of the family's 1533-position model. The record is from RNAcentral.
GACGAACGCUGGCGGCGUGGAUUAGGCAUGCAAGUCGAACGGUAUCAUCCUUUCGGGGGUGAGAGAGUGGCGAACUGGUGAGUAACACGUAGGUUAUCUACCCUCAAGACGGGGACAACCCAGGGAAACUUGGGCUAAUACCGGAUGUGAGCAACUUUUAGUUGUUUGAAAGGUGGCGUAAGCUGUCGCUUGGGGAUGAGCCUGCGUCCUAUUAGUUAGUUGGUGAGGUAACGGCUCACCUAGGCAAUGAUAGGUAGGCGGCCUUAACGGGUGGUCGCCCACACUGGGAUUGAGAUACGGCCCAGACUCCUACGGGAGGCAGCAGUCGAGAAUAGUCUACAAUGGUCGGAAGACUGAUAGUGCGACGCCGCGUGAACGAUGAAUCCCUUCGGGGUGUAAAGUUCUUUUAUAUGUGAGCAGUGCUUCUUAUAUUAACAGUAUGGGGAGAGAGAUAUUAGCAUAUGAAUAAGCAACGGCUAACUCCGUGCCAGCAGCCGCGGUAAGACCG